Molecule: small nuclear RNA, 164 nt
Gene: U1
Rfam family: U1 spliceosomal RNA
About the family: U1 is a small nuclear RNA (snRNA) component of the spliceosome (involved in pre-mRNA splicing). Its 5' end forms complementary base pairs with the 5' splice junction, thus defining the 5' donor site of an intron.
Source: Ensembl
CAACUUAUCUGGCAGGGGAGAUACCAUGAUCAAGAAGGUGGUUCACCCAGGGCGAGGCACAGUCAUUGCACUGCGACUGUGCUGACCACUGCGAAUUCCCCAAAUGUGGGAAUCUCGACUGUAUAAUUUGUGGUAGUGUGGGACUGCGUUCGCGCUCUCCCCUG